Molecule: signal recognition particle RNA, 97 nt
Filed under: Proteus mirabilis
Lineage: Bacteria; Pseudomonadati; Pseudomonadota; Gammaproteobacteria; Enterobacterales; Morganellaceae
Description: signal recognition particle sRNA small type
Rfam family: Bacterial small signal recognition particle RNA
About the family: The signal recognition particle (SRP) is a universally conserved ribonucleoprotein involved in the co-translational targeting of proteins to membranes.
Source: RNAcentral
UGUUGGUUCUCCCACAACACUAACUUGUUAACUCGGUCAGGUCCGGAAGGAAGCAGCCAUGGCAGGUGUCGUGUGUGCCGGGAUGUCGCUGGCAAGG